GAAAUUGUUUACAAAACAUAAUGUUCCUGAAAAAUGUUUCUCCUCUCUGUUCCAGGAUAAGACCAACACAAUGUUCCAGGCACUGUAAAUGUUUUCCUAAUUGAUGACAUGACAAUCAUCCAAGAAUCUCUAAAAUGCUAUGUAUCUGUGCUUUGUACAAUAUGAGCUAUGACUUUGACUCUUCUCAUGAGUUGUUGUGAGGAAAUAAUUUUACAAACAAACGUGAAAGAGGAACGUGAACUAUUGUUUAAGCAAGCAGUUUUCAGAGAUUUGGAACUCCUCCACUGAUCACAUCAGCCAUUUUCAGGUGGCAAAAAUUGGAAAAUGAGGGGGUAUCCCUCAAUUGAAGAAU
Molecule: long non-coding RNA, 352 nt
Filed under: Monodelphis domestica (gray short-tailed opossum)
Lineage: Eukaryota; Metazoa; Chordata; Mammalia; Didelphimorphia; Didelphidae
Description: lncRNA (ENSMODG00000042283.1)
Source: RNAcentral